GACGAACGCUGGCGGCGUGCUUAACACAUGCAAGUCGAACGGUAAGGCCCUUCGGGGUACACGAGUGGCGAACGGGUGAGUAACACGUGGGUGAUCUGCCCUGCACUUCGGGAUAAGCCUGGGAAACUGGGUCUAAUACCGGAUAGGACCACUGCCUGCAUGGGUGGUGGUGGAAAGCUUUUGCGGUGUGGGAUGGGCCCGCGGCCUAUCAGCUUGUUGGUGGGGCGAUGGCCUACCAAGGCGACGACGGGUAGCCGGCCUGAGAGGGUGACCGGCCACACUGGGACUGAGAUACGGCCCAGACUCCUACGGGAGGCAGCAGUGGGGAAUGUUGCACAAUGGGCGCAAGCCUGAUGCAGCGACGCCGCGUGAGGGAUGACGGCCUUCGGGUUGUAAACCUCUUUCAGCACCGACGAAGCGCAAGUGACGGUAGGUGCAGAAGAAGGACCGGCCAACUACGUGCCAGCAGCCGCCGUAA
This 478-nucleotide ribosomal RNA is filed under the name uncultured bacterium. RNAcentral describes it as "partial 16S ribosomal RNA". It matches the Rfam family "Bacterial small subunit ribosomal RNA", at positions 28 to 523 of the family's 1533-position model. The record is from RNAcentral.